UCUCUGGUAGUAUAGUGGUGAGUAUCCGCGCCUGUCACGUGCGAGACCGGGGUUCGAUUCCCCGCCAGAGAG
This is a non-coding RNA of Parastrongyloides trichosuri, 72 nucleotides long. The record is from Rfam. NCBI's taxonomy places the organism in Eukaryota, Metazoa, Nematoda, Chromadorea, Rhabditida, Strongyloididae.